This is a non-coding RNA of Chlorocebus sabaeus (green monkey), 2354 nucleotides long. The record is from RefSeq and is a predicted model, not a curated record. Lineage: Eukaryota; Metazoa; Chordata; Mammalia; Primates; Cercopithecidae.
GUACUGGUAGUUAACUCUCAAGGGGAAAUUUCACGGUUGAGCAUCAAAAAGGAAGUGGUCACGAAAGGAAAUAUCAAGAAUUAUCUUAAAUUGGGUCAAGAAGGGAAGUAUCGCGUCUACCACAAUCAAUACUCCACCAAUUCAUUUGCUUUGAAUAAGCACCAGCACAGAGAAGAUCAUGAUAAGAGAAGGCAUCUUGCACAUAAAUUCUGUCUGACUCCAGCAGGAGAGUUCAAAUGGAACGGUUCUGUCCAUGGGUCCAAAGUUCUUACUAUAUCUACUCUGAGACUGACUAUCACCCAAUUAGAAAACAACAUCCCUUCAUCCUUUCUUCAUCCCAAUUGGGCAUCACAUAGGGCAAAUUGGAUCAAGGCAGUUCAGAUGUGUAGCAAACCCAGAGAAUUUGCACUGGUUUUAGCCAUUUUGGAGUGUGCAGUUAAACCAGUUGUGAUGCUACCAAUAUGGCAAGAAUCUUUAGGACAUACCAGCUUUCUCCCUUUGUCUCAUAACCAUGUCCACCAACGAGAAUGCUAAUACACCAGCUGCCCGUCUUCACAGAUUCAAGAACAAGGGAAAAGACAGUACAGAAAUGAGGCGUCGCAGAAUAGAGGUCAAUGUGGAGCUGAGGAAAGCUAAGAAGGAUGACCAGAUGCUGAAGAGGAGAAACGUAAGCUCAUUUCCUGAUGAUGCUACUUCUCCGCUGCAGGAAAACCGCAACAACCAGGGCACUGUAAAUUGGUCUGUUGAUGACAUUGUCAAAGGCGUAAAUAGCAACAAUGUGGAAAAUCAACUCCAAGCUACUCAAGCUGCCAGGAAACUACUUUCUAGAGAAAAACAGCCCCCCAUAGACAACAUAAUCCGGGCUGGUUUGAUUCCAAAAUUUGUGUACUUCUUGGGCAGAACUGAUUGUAGUCCCAUUCAGUUUGAGUCUGCUUGGGCACUUACUAACAUUGCUUCUGGGACAUCAGAACAGACCAAGGCUGUGGUAGAUGGAGGUGCCAUCCCAGCAUUCAUCUCUCUGUUGGCAUCUCCCCAUGCUCACAUCAGUGAACAAGCCGUUUGGGCCCUAGGAAACAUUUCAGGUGACGGCUCAGUGUUCCGAGACUUGGUUAUUAAGUAUGGUGCAGUUGACCCACUGUUGGCUCUCCUUGCGGUUCCUGAUAUGUCAUCUUUAGCACAUGGCUCCUUACGUAAUCUUACCUGGACACUUUGAAAUCUUUGCCGCAACAAGAAUCCUGCACCCCCGAUAGAUGCUGUUGAGCAGAUUCUUCCUACCUUAGUUCGGCUCCUGCAUCAUGAUGAUCUAGAAGUAUUAGCAGAUACCUGCUGGGCUAUUUCCUACCUUACUGACGGUCUGAAUGAACGAAUUGACAUGGUCGUGAAAACAGGAGUUGUGCCCCAACUUGUGAAGUUUCUAGGAGCUUCUGAAUUGCCAAUUGUGACUCCUACCUUAAGAGCCAUAGGGAAUAUUGUCACUGGUACAGAUGAACAGACUCAGGUUGUGACUGAUGCAGGAGCACUCGCUGUCUUUCCCAGCCUGCUCACCAACCCCAAAACUAACAUUCAGAAGGAAGCUACAUGGACAAUGUCAAACAUCACAGUUGGCCGUCAGGACCAGAUACAGCAAGUUGUGAAUCAUGGAUUAGUCCCAUUCCUUGUCAGUGUUCUCUCUAAGGCAGAUUUUAAGACCCAAAAGGAGGCUGUAUGGGCCGUGACCAACUAUACUAGUGGUAGAACAGUUGAGCAGAUUGUGUACCUCGUUCACUGUGGCAUAAUAGAACCAUUGGUGAACCCCUUAACUGCAAAAGAUACCAAGAUUAUUCUGGUUAUCCUGGAUGCCAUUUCAAAUAUCUUUCAGGCUGCUGAGAAACUAGGUGAAACUGAGAAACUUAGUAUAAUGAUUGAAGAAUGUGGCGGCUUAGACAAAAUUGAAGCUCUGCAAAACCAUGAAAAUGAGUCUGUGUAUAAGGCUUCGUUAAGCUUAAUUGAGAAGCAUUUCUCUGUAGAGGAAGAGGAAGAUCAAAAUGUUGUGCCAGAAACUACCUCUGAAGGCUACACCUUCCAAGUUCAGGAUGGAGCUCCUGGGACCUUUACCUUUUAGAUCACGUAGCUGAGGCAUACAUUUGUUGUGUACCAUGUUUGGUAUUUUGUCUUAUUGUUUCUCUACUAAGAACUCUUUUUAAAUGUGGUUUGUUAUUGUAGCACUUUUUACACUGAAACUAUACUUGAACAGUUCCAACUGUACAUACUGUAUGAAGCUUGUCCUCUGACUAGGUUUCUUAUUUCUAUGUGGAAUUUCAUAUCUUGCAGGAUCCUGUAAAUAAACAUUAAAGUCCACCCUUUUCUUUACUUCA